GUGCUUGCUUCGGUAGCACAUAUACUAAAUUUGGAAUGAUACAGAGAAGAUAGCAUGGCCCCUGUGCAAGGAUGACACGCAAAUUCAUGAAGUGUUCCAUAUUUUU
This 106-nucleotide small nuclear RNA is filed under the name Spermophilus dauricus (Daurian ground squirrel). Lineage: Eukaryota; Metazoa; Chordata; Mammalia; Rodentia; Sciuridae. The record is from RNAcentral.